This 589-nucleotide ribosomal RNA is filed under the name uncultured bacterium. Its description in RNAcentral is "bacterial SSU rRNA". It matches the Rfam family "Bacterial small subunit ribosomal RNA", at positions 338 to 917 of the family's 1533-position model. The record is from RNAcentral.
CCUACGGGAGGCAGCAGUAGGGAAUCUUCCGCAAUGGACGAAAGUCUGACGGAGCAACGCCGCGUGAGUGAUGAAGGCUUUCGGGUCGUAAAACUCUGUUGUUAGGGAAGAACAAGUGCUAGUUGAAUAAGCUGGCACCUUGACGGUACCUAACCAGAAAGCCACGGCUAACUACGUGCCAGCAGCCGCGGUAAUACGUAGGUGGCAAGCGUUAUCCGGAAUUAUUGGGCGUAAAGCGCGCGCAGGUGGUUUCUUAAGUCUGAUGUGAAAGCCCACGGCUCAACCGUGGAGGGUCAUUGGAAACUGGGAGACUUGAGUGCAGAAGAGGAAAGUGGAAUUCCAUGUGUAGUGGUGAAAUGCGUAGAGAUAUGGAGGAACACCAGUGGCGAAGGCGACUUUCUGGUCUGUAACUGACACUGAGGCACGAAAGCGUGGGGAGCAAACAGGAUUAGAUACCCUGGUAGUCCACGCCGUAAACGAUGAGUGCUAAGUGUUAGAGGGUUUCCGCCCUUUAGUGCUGCAGCUAACGCAUUAAGCACUCCGCCUGGGGAGUACGGUCGCAAGACUGAAACUCAAAUGAAUUGACGGA